UCUGCCACCGAAUACAUUAGCAUGGGAUAAUGGAAUAGGACCCUGUCCUCCUAUUUUCAGUUGGUUUUGGCAGCGCGAGGACUAGGGUAAUGAUUAAUAGGGAUAGUUGGGGGCAUUAAUAUUUAAUUGUCAGAGGUGAAAUUCUUGGAUUUAUGAAAGAUUAACUUCUGCGAAAGCAUCUGCCAAGGAUGUUUUCAUUAAUCAAGAACGAAAGUUAGGGGAUCGAAGACGAUCAGAUACCGUCGUAGUCUUAACCAUAAACGAUGCCGACCAGCGAUUAGGAGACGUUGAAUACAAAACACCACCAUCGGCGCGGUCGUCCUUGGCGUCUGUCCCUUUCAACGGGGGCAGGCGCGAGGGCGGUUUAGCCCGGUGGCACCGGUGAAUGACUCCCCUAGCAGCUUGUGAGAA
This 411-nucleotide ribosomal RNA is filed under the name Acanthamoeba sp. Its description in RNAcentral is "SSU rRNA". It matches the Rfam family "Eukaryotic small subunit ribosomal RNA", at positions 788 to 1096 of the family's 1831-position model. The record is from RNAcentral. Lineage: Eukaryota; Discosea; Longamoebia; Acanthamoebidae.